CACUCUCUUUUGGCCGGCCAAAGCAAAGAACAAAGAGAAAAAGAGAAGAACAAACCCUAGGAAGGAAAAAUUCAAGAGAAAUUGAUGGAUUUUAAGGAAUCAAGCAAGUAAAGGUAAGAUUUUUUAAUUUUAGCUUGUGAUCUACCUUUCCCAUGCAUUCUUUUUCAUUUUUCAUGGCUGAAAUUCAAUUUUUCAAGAGGGAACCUUUGCUGUCCAAAUCUAGAGAGAGAAGUUUUGGUGAUGAAUUUUGCUAGAUUUCAUAAUAUCCUAGUGUUUUUAAUCAUUUUAUGAUGUUUGGAAGGAAAAACAAGCAAGAAAAUCACAUGUUCUUCAACCACCCUCAUUUGGCCGAAUUUUCUAUAGGGGAUGUUGAUGAUGGAUUUGGUUGUAUUGCAUGUUAUUUAGCUAGGAAUUGAUGAAUUAUGGGGUUGGAUAUCGAAACCGGUUAUUGAAAAAUAUAGUUCCUUUAGAAAAUGGCUUGAUGAAAAAUGAGAAAAUCAUAAUAAAUGGACUUGGAUUUGAUUCCUAAUGAUAUAUAUAUGGAUUUACGAGAUUAUGUAGACAUUGAUUAGUAUGUUAGUUCGGAAUCGGAAUGAAUUUUGGAAAAUGGUGAAGUUAGUCAAAAAUCAAGUUCAUUGAAAUGCUUUGGUGUAUUAGAUCAUUGGUAGUGGAAUGAGUAUAUUUGGAGUUGAAUCGGAUGUUUUGGCUAAAUCAAUCAUGUAUAGUUCGAAUUAGGCCGAAUACAAAUUCAUUCUGAUCACAAUUGAACCUACAUAGAAUACCGUCUUUAAGUUAUUAUUCGGACAAUUCUCAUUCAAUGUCAUGCAUUCAUAUAGAGCCUGAAAUAGUUUUAUAACAGUUUGGCACAAAUAUAUUGAAUUACAUGUCGUGCAUUAUUUAUAGGUGGUGACCCCUUUGAUAAGGGUAAAGAUAUUGUGCCCGAGGACCAAGAAUAGGAGUACUCCAAACUCCUGCUAUUGUGAGUAAUCAGACUUUCAUCUUAACUAUCUAAAGUAGUUUAUACUCGUUUUUAUGUUUUAAGGAAAAAUAAAUUUAAAUUGCAAACUAUUAUUUUUUAUAAUUGAAGUGUUGAUUAAACGAAAUGAGAUUUGUAACUUGUUUUGAAAUUGAAUACUGGUUUUGGAAAUUGAGUAAAUGGAGACUGUAUACUUGUGUUAUAUAUAUGUUUUGACAUAUGGUUUGAAUUGAUGGCUUAUGACAAUGUGAUGGCAAUCAUGGCUGGAUUUGUGUUUAUGUGGAAUAUAUGAACUGUUUUGCUUUGCCUUGACAGGCUAGUAAUAUUAUAUUAGCCAUGUCAUGCUGUCAAAAAUUUUAUUGAAUUGGUGGAUUAUUUGAUUAGCUUACUGCAAUGGGCGGGUUUCCAUGGACCAGCCUAUUAGAGGGGUACGGUAAACCCCGUUAUAUUUUACCUUAGUAUGAGAGGCGCGGAGGGUAUCUCCUAAAAUAAAGUUAGAGUUCACCUCACGCCGAACCAUCACGUGAGGGUGAAACUUAGACAAUGCCAAGGAACGGUUGUACUUUUAAAUGUAAAAAAUGAGUUUUAUACUUAUAUGUUAUUUUAACAGCCUUGGCGGACUUGGUUGGAUGCCCAACGCAAGGUGUCACCGAGUGUAAGUUUUUGGCACGAGCCAAGUUUUAAGAGAAUCAUAAGCCUUGUUUAUUUUUAUGAAAUGAAAUUGAUUUAUAUGAAAUGAAAGGAGAUUCGAUGUUAUGAAUCAUAUUAUGACGAGAUAUUUUAAAUUGUCUCCAUUUACUCGAUUUUAGAUAUUUUAGAUAAAAUUUGCUUACUCACUAAGUUUAUAAAAACUCACCCCUUCUUUUCACCCAUUUCAGGCUCAAGGCAGUCUGUAGACUGCUGAUUAUGUCGAGGGUUUGCUUUUGGGUUUGCACCCAUAGAAAUUGCAAGUCUAUAGUCUUGUACAUAUAUGUUUAUUUUGGAGGCCCACAUGUCAUUGUAGAAUAUUUUGUAUACCUGGCUGCGUGUGCCACUGUAUGUAUGAAUUUAUUUUGCUUUUACGCUAUAAAAAUUACGCAGA
RNAcentral lists this long non-coding RNA (2057 nucleotides) under Theobroma cacao (cacao). RNAcentral describes it as "long non-coding RNA (TCAC_LNC000314)". Lineage: Eukaryota; Viridiplantae; Streptophyta; Magnoliopsida; Malvales; Malvaceae. The record is from RNAcentral.